This 253-nucleotide ribosomal RNA is filed under the name uncultured bacterium. RNAcentral describes it as "partial 16S ribosomal RNA". It matches the Rfam family "Bacterial small subunit ribosomal RNA", at positions 524 to 776 of the family's 1533-position model. The record is from RNAcentral.
CACGUAGGGCGCAAGCGUUGUCCGGAAUUAUUGGGCGUAAAGAGCUCGUAGGCGGUCUGUUACGUCUGCUGUGAAAACCCAGGGCUUAACCCUGGGCUUGCAGUGGAUACGGGCAGACUAGAGGCAGGUAGGGGAGAAUGGAAUUCCCGGUGUAGCGGUGAAAUGCGCAGAUAUCGGGAGGAACACCGGUGGCGAAGGCGGUUCUCUGGGCCGAUACUGACGCUGAGGAGCGAAAGCGUGGGGAGCGAACAGG